RNAcentral lists this ribosomal RNA (465 nucleotides) under Flavobacterium sp. 01WB02.1-34. RNAcentral describes it as "bacterial SSU rRNA". It matches the Rfam family "Bacterial small subunit ribosomal RNA", at positions 1 to 475 of the family's 1533-position model. Lineage: Bacteria; Pseudomonadati; Bacteroidota; Flavobacteriia; Flavobacteriales; Flavobacteriaceae. The record is from RNAcentral.
UGAGCUUGAUCCUGGCUCAGGAUGAACGCUAGCGGCAGGCUUAACACAUGCAAGUCGAGGGGUAUUUAUCUUCGGAUAGAGAGACCGGCGCACGGGUGCGUAACGCGUAUGCAAUCUACCUUUUACAGAGGGAUAGCCCAGAGAAAUUUGGAUUAAUACCUCAUAGUAUUAUGAAAUGGCAUCAUUUUAUAAUUAAAGUCACAACGGUAAAAGAUGAGCAUGCGUCCCAUUAGCUAGUUGGUAAGGUAACGGCUUACCAAGGCUACGAUGGGUAGGGGUCCUGAGAGGGAGAUCCCCCACACUGGUACUGAGACACGGACCAGACUCCUACGGGAGGCAGCAGUGAGGAAUAUUGGACAAUGGGCGCAAGCCUGAUCCAGCCAUGCCGCGUGCAGGAUGACGGUCCUAUGGAUUGUAAACUGCUUUUAUACGAGAAGAAACAACAUUACGUGUAAUGUCUGACGG